GCUCAGUAACACGUGGAUAACCUACCCUUAGGACCGGGAUAACCUUGGGAAACUGAGGAUAAUACUGGAUAGGCAAUUUUUCCUGCAAUGGUUUUUUGUUUAAAUGUUUUUUCGCCUAAGGAUGGGUCUGCGGCCGAUUAGGUAGUUGGUUAGGUAACGGCUUACCAAGCCAUUGAUCGGUACGGGUUGUGAGAGCAAGAGCCCGGAGAUGGAACCUGAGACAAGGUUCCAGGCCCUACGGGGUGCAGCAGGCGCGAAACCUCCGCAAUGUGAGAAAUCGCGACGGGGGGAUCCCAAGUGCCAUUCUUAACGGGAUGGCUUUUCAUUAGUGUAAAGAGCUUUUGGAAUAAGGGCUGGGCAAGACCGGUGCCAGCCGCCGCGGUAACACCGGCAGCUCUAGUGGUAGCAGUUUUUAUUGGGCCUAAAGCGUCCGUAGCCGGUUUAAUAAGUCUCUGGUGAAAUCCUGUAGCUUAACUGUGGGAAUUGCUGGAGAUACUAUUAGACUUGAGACCGGGAGAGGUUAGAGGUACUCCCAGGGUAGAGGUGAAAUUCUGUAAUCCUGGGAGGACCGCCUGUUGCGAAGGCGUCUAACUGGAACGGUUCUGACGGUGAGGGACGAAAGUUAGGGGCGCGAACCGGAUUAGAUACCCGGGUAGUCCUAACCGUAAACGAUGCGGACUUGGUGUUGGGGUGGCUUUGAGCUGCUCCAGUGCCGAAGGAAGCUGUUAAGUCCGCCGCCUGGGAAGUAC
This 749-nucleotide ribosomal RNA is filed under the name uncultured archaeon. RNAcentral describes it as "bacterial SSU rRNA". It matches the Rfam family "Archaeal small subunit ribosomal RNA", at positions 88 to 838 of the family's 1478-position model. The record is from RNAcentral.